GGCAAAUGGCGACUGAGUCUCCAUCAUAGGGCGACUCACCAAUGUGGUGGUGGAAUUGACAAAUUUGGUGAAGAAAAAGGUUCGAAGUUUGUGGAUUUUCGUUCGAAGUUUGUGGAUUUUCGUUUGCAAUUAGGCUGAUGAGAAUAGUUGUGGAAAUAAAUAAUAGGGUUUAGGUGGGAUGAUAAAACUGAGAAAGUGGGUUUGUGGGAUAAAAGUAGAAAAGAAAAUAACCGUUCAUUUUGCCGGGGAAAAGAAACUGUAGAAAAGAAAACUAUGUAUUAAUAGAUGCGCAGCCUUCAAGAUAUUUGCCCUUUAUAUGUUGUUUUAUUUACUAAAUUGCCACAAACUGUGUUUUCAUAUACUAUAUAGAUUAGACAAAUGUAGAUAGCACUNCUUUCACCAGAAACGAAUUUUUCUUCUCGACGAUCUGCCAUAUCGACUUGACCAGAUAGAAAGAAUUGCUCCAGGCUUAUAAUCAAUAAGAGCAUAAAAAAAAUAGAAAUACAAAUUCAAGUCUGCUGAAUAAGAAAUAGAAAAAAGAAACAGGAAUAGAGAGAAGGAAACUUGUUAGAUUUGCUCUUGCCCUUGGAGACGGCGUGAGGCCGCAGGCCAGCCUGAGUUUUAGGCGACGUUUGUUCGAGGCGGCACGACAAAGGUGAGGGUUGCGUCUCCAUCAGAGUUUGUGGGCAAAUGGCGACUGAGUCUCCAUCAGAGGGCGACUCACCAAUGUGGUGGUGGAAUUGACAAAUUUGGUGAAGAAAAAGGUUCGAAGUUUGUGGAUUUUCGUUCGACGUUUGUAGAUUUUAGUUUGCAAUUAGGCUGAUGAGAAUAGUUGGGGAAAGAAAUGAUAGGGUUUAGGUGGGAUGAUAAAACUGAGAAAAUGGGUUUGUGGCAUAAAAGUAGAAAAGAAAAUAACCGUUCAUUUUGCCGGG
This 932-nucleotide long non-coding RNA is filed under the name Salvia miltiorrhiza (redroot sage). RNAcentral's name for it is "long non-coding RNA (SMIL_LNC006687)". Lineage: Eukaryota; Viridiplantae; Streptophyta; Magnoliopsida; Lamiales; Lamiaceae. The record is from RNAcentral.